This 389-nucleotide ribosomal RNA is filed under the name uncultured bacterium. RNAcentral's name for it is "bacterial SSU rRNA". It matches the Rfam family "Bacterial small subunit ribosomal RNA", at positions 32 to 402 of the family's 1533-position model. The record is from RNAcentral.
AAUCAACGCUGGCGGCGUGCCUCAGACAUGCAAGUCGAACGCGAAAGUUUCCUUCGGGGAACAAGUAGAGUGGCGCACGGGUGAGUAACACGUAGGUAAUCUACCUUUGGAUGGGGAAUAACAACCGGAAACGGUUGCUAAUACCGCAUAAUGCAGCGGCACCUAAUGGUGACAGUUGUUAAAGCGGGGGAUCGAAAGACCUCGCGUCUGAAGAGGAGCCUGCGGCGGAUUAGCAGUUGGUAAGGUAAUGGCUUACCAAGGCUACGAUCCGUAACCGGCCUGAGAGGGCGGUCGGUCACACUGACACUGACAUACGGGUCAGACUCCUACGGGAGGCAGCAGUCGGGAAUUUGGGCAAUGGGCGAAAGCCUGACCCAGCAACGCCGCGU